AGCGGCGGACGGGUGACUAAUGCCUAAGAAAUUGCCCUGGUGUGGGGGAUAACCAUUGUAAACGAUGGCUAAUACCGCAUGAUGCCUACGGGCCAAAGAGGGGGACCUUCGGGCCUCUCGCGUCAGGAUAUGCCUAGGUGGGAUUAGCUAGUUGGUGAGGUAAGGGCUCACCAAGGCGACGAUCCCUAGCUGGUCUGAGAGGAUGAUCAGCCACACUGGAACUGAGACACGGUCCAGACUCCUACGGGAGGCAGCAGUGGGGAAUAUUGCACAAUGGGCGCAAGCCUGAUGCAGCCAUGCCGCGUGUGUGAAGAAGGCCUUCGGGUUGUAAAGCACUUUCAGUCGUGAGGAAGGUAGUGUAGUUAAUAGCUGCAUUAUUUGACGUUAGCGACAGAAGAAGCACCGGCUAACUCCGUGCCAGCAGCCGCGGUAAUACGGAGGGUGCGAGCGUUAAUCGGAAUUACUGGGCGUAAAGCGCAUGCAGGUGGUUUGUUAAGUCAGAUGUGAAAGCCCGGGGCUCAACCUCGGAAUAGCAUUUGAAACUGGCAAACUAGAGUACUGUAGAGGGGGGUAGAAUUUCAGGUGUAGCGGUGAAAUGCGUAGAGAUCUGAAGGAAUACCGGUGGCGAAGGCGGCCCCCUGGACAGAUACUGACACUCAGAUGCGAAAGCGUGGGGAGCAAAC
Molecule: ribosomal RNA, 683 nt
Filed under: uncultured bacterium
Lineage: Bacteria
Description: bacterial SSU rRNA
Rfam family: Bacterial small subunit ribosomal RNA
Source: RNAcentral